GAAUACUGGUUCUAUAAAUUUCUAGUUGAGCAUAUUAUCUUAGUUUUAAGUAGCACUUAUAUUACUAAGAAACAUAUUUCAUGUCACGAUAGAAGCCCUAGGUGUGUAACUUUUCAGAUCAGAGUCUGAUGAGUAUUAGAAAUUUUAGUCUAUUUUUCUCUGGCUUGAUUGUACUUAUUCUGUGGAAAAUUACCUCUGAUAUUUUUAUAAUAAAGCCUCCUUACAGUCACUGAAGUCAUAAAGAACAGUUGAAAGUAAAGAAUUUGUGGACCAUCUUCAAGAACACUGCUUCACUACGUAAAUGUUUUCUGUAGUAUUGUCUUGGCUCUACAUUAUACAUUACAAAUCUAGUGAUAUGGCCAGUCAUAUAAAUGAGGAGGUCGAAAAGAAUAAUUUCUGAAGAAAAGUAAUUGGAGAUGCUGGAGACAGUGGAACAACAUUCGAUCACAACAGUCUCUUAAACUGCCAAGAUGAUCCUUAGUGAUGAGACAUCGUGUCAUAAUGUUGAUGAAGUCCUUCGCCUAGUCAGUGCCAUCCAGUAUGCUGAUAAUACGGGGAAAAUUUGCCCGGGCAACUGGAAGCCAGGAGAUGAGGGCCUCUCCAACCAUUGCCCAGUGCAGCAAGUGACCUCGGCAUCUAAGUAGUGCGUUCCUAGAAUGUGUCCCGAGUCAUCUGAACAUUCAAGGGUCUUACUGAAAGAACUAGACAGAAAAAAUCUGCUGUUCCCUCCUCCCUGGAGAGAAUGAAUUUGAAUUUUGUUUUAUGUUUCAAGGUGGUAUGGAUGCUUGGGCACUAGUCAUCAUAUAUGCGAUAUAUUUUUUUCUGCAAGUUCCUAUGUCAUUGUUUUUUUUUCCUUUUUUUUUUUUUUUUGCCAACCUGUUUGGCACCAAUUUUAUGACAGUAUUUCAUACAUGGUAUUUAGAUUUGUUCUCUUUUAGUAUGAUAUUAAAAUAUUUCCUCAUAGGGGACAUUGCGUAGACAUUUUUGUAUCCAUUGUGACAGUUGAAAUGCAGCUAGUAAAAGAAGGUACUAAUGAAUGGAAUAUUACGUACAAAACAUUGCAUUUAUCUGAGAGGAGGUUUUAUGAGCGGUGUGUUGUUCAAUGUGAUAAGGAGCUGUGAUAAAAGGUCCUUUAUAUUUUUUUAAGUAUGGCUGAAUUUACAACUUCCUGUAGCAUUAUGUUUGUCAGUCAAAAUCCAAACUCAAAGUUUGUGAAAAGUUCCACAGUCAGUAAGAUACUAUUAGCUAAGGUUGCAUACAUUUGUAAAAUGUAACAUGUAUCUGUGUUUUCAUGUUGUGAAAAUGAACUUAGACUUUUGUACUGUAGUAUUCAGAUUUCAAUAAGUAUUGUAAGUUUUGGAUACUUAAUAAGCUUUGGAAAAUGUAUAAAUGUUCCAUGUAGCAGCUUUUUGUGGAUCUGCUUUAUGUAUUUGCUCAUGUUGAUGACUUCCAGCAUUUUUAGAGAAGAUCUGAUAAUUUAAUUUUUGUAUUAGUUGUUUUUGCGAGUAAACUGUUUCUUUCCUUUGUA
Penaeus vannamei (Pacific white shrimp) is the source of this 1528-nucleotide non-coding RNA. The record is from RefSeq and is a predicted model, not a curated record. Lineage: Eukaryota; Metazoa; Arthropoda; Malacostraca; Decapoda; Penaeidae.